GACGAACGCUGGCGGCGUGCUUAACACAUGCAAGUCGAACGGAAAGGCCCCUUUGGGGGUACUCGCGUGGCGAACGGGUGAGUAACACGUGAGUAACCUGCCCUUGACUUCGGUAUAACUUCAGGAAACUGGGGCUAAUACCGGAUAGGAAUCCUUGCUGCAUGGUGGGGGUUGGAAAGCUUCGGCGGUUUUGGAUGGACUCGCGGCUUAUCAGCUUGUUGGUGGGGUAGUGGCUUACCAAGGCUUUGACGGGUAGCCGGCCUGGGAGGGCGACCGGCCACAUUGGGACUGAGAUACGGCCCAGACUCCUACGGGAGGCAGCAGUGGGGAAUAUUGCACAAUGGGCGGAAGGCUGAUGCAGCAACGCCGCGGGCGGGAUGACGGCCUUCGGGUUGUAAACCGCUUUCAGCAGGGGAGAAGCUUGUGGUGACGGUACCUGCAGAAGAAGCACCGGCUAACUACGUG
This 465-nucleotide ribosomal RNA is filed under the name uncultured bacterium. Its description in RNAcentral is "partial 16S ribosomal RNA". It matches the Rfam family "Bacterial small subunit ribosomal RNA", at positions 28 to 507 of the family's 1533-position model. The record is from RNAcentral.